This 253-nucleotide ribosomal RNA is filed under the name uncultured bacterium. RNAcentral's name for it is "partial 16S ribosomal RNA". It matches the Rfam family "Bacterial small subunit ribosomal RNA", at positions 524 to 776 of the family's 1533-position model. The record is from RNAcentral.
UACGUAGGGGGCAAGCGUUAUCCGGAUUUACUGGGUGUAAAGGGAGCGUAGACGGCAUGGCAAGUCAGAUGUGAAAGCCCGGGGCUCAACCCCGGGACUGCAUUUGAAACUGUCAGGCUGGAGUGCAGGAGAGGUAAGCGGAAUUCCUAGUGUAGCGGUGAAAUGCGUAGAUAUUAGGAGGAACACCAGUGGCGAAGGCGGCUUACUGGACUGUAACUGACGUUGAGGCUCGAAAGCGUGGGUAGCAAAUAGG